GAAAAAAAUGGCGACUUCAAUCGUCUUUUUCUCCCACUUGUAGUGUUGUCCGGUCCUUUGAUCCGCCUUUCAAAAUUUUCCAGCAGUUAAAAUAUCGAUAAGACCUUAUUCUUCAUCUGUUAUAGUUUAAAACGGUUGUGAUAAAUCCUGAAGCACGCGAAAAGAUCUCUAACAGCAUCACCCUAAUUAGCCUAAGGUCAUCUAAAAGAAGAAAUAAAACAAGCAUCUGACUUCGCCAUGGAGUCCAACGCAGCGAGCACGUCUAGCUUGUGGUACGCCAAAUAUCUCGAAACCUACCCGUGUCCGGAAGUUUUAACUCAACCUAUGAGAUCUCGUACUCAGACGAGGAACCACCGGCGAAGAAAAAGAAUAAAAAGAAAACUAAACAAAAAGAACAGCCAUCAAAAGGGAUAAAAAAGAUUUCAGAUAAAAAACAAAUAGACACAGCCGCUCAAACUGAUCCACAG
Physella acuta is the source of this 467-nucleotide long non-coding RNA. RefSeq lists it as uncharacterized. The record is from RefSeq and is a predicted model, not a curated record. Lineage: Eukaryota; Metazoa; Mollusca; Gastropoda; Physidae.